This 483-nucleotide ribosomal RNA is filed under the name uncultured bacterium. RNAcentral's name for it is "bacterial SSU rRNA". It matches the Rfam family "Bacterial small subunit ribosomal RNA", at positions 505 to 987 of the family's 1533-position model. The record is from RNAcentral.
GUGCCAGCAGCCGCGGUAAUACGUAGGUCCCGAGCGUUGUCCGGAUUUAUUGGGCGUAAAGCGAGCGCAGGCGGUUAGAUAAGUCUGAAGUUAAAGGCUGUGGCUUAACCAUAGUACGCUUUGGAAACUGUUUAACUUGAGUGCAAGAGGGGAGAGUGGAAUUCCAUGUGUAGCGGUGAAAUGCGUAGAUAUUAGGAAGAACACCAGUGGCGAAGGCGACUUUCUGGACGAAAACUGACGCUGAGGCGCGAAAGCCAGGGGAGCGAACGGGAUUAGAUACCCCGGUAGUCCUGGCCGUAAACGAUGGGUACUAGGUGUAGGAGGUAUCGACCCCUUCUGUGCCGGAGUUAACGCAAUAAGUACCCCGCCUGGGGAGUACGACCGCAAGGUUGAAACUCAAAGGAAUUGACGGGGGCCCGCACAAGCGGUGGAGUAUGUGGUUUAAUUCGACGCAACGCGAAGAACCUUACCAGGUCUUGACAU